UUCUAUCAUAUAUAUUGCAGAAUUUUAGUUUAAUUCUUUUAGAUUUUUUUUAAAAAUAAAUUCAGCUAAAAAUAUAAAGCAAUUAGGCUUUAAUUUGAAUGAUCUCAAGAAUCAACAAUUGAUCUAUAGCCAACUGGACUAGAUGCGAUCGACUAAUAUUUAUUUUAAAGCAUCAUUUACUGAAUGUUAAAUACGGUGCAUAACCGACCGUCCCUAGAGCAAGUGGCAAAGGGCUUGGUGGUUGGUACCUGAAUUUUCAAGUUCGAAUACUAGUUGAUUCACAUUUCCAGCUAAGUUUAUUUCUCAAUGAAAUAAAUGAAGUAGGUAGCGUGCUACCUUUCUCUCUAAAAA
Molecule: long non-coding RNA, 351 nt
Filed under: Ananas comosus (pineapple)
Lineage: Eukaryota; Viridiplantae; Streptophyta; Magnoliopsida; Poales; Bromeliaceae
Description: long non-coding RNA (ACOM_LNC013253)
Source: RNAcentral